Molecule: ribosomal RNA, 255 nt
Filed under: Escherichia coli
Lineage: Bacteria; Pseudomonadati; Pseudomonadota; Gammaproteobacteria; Enterobacterales; Enterobacteriaceae
Description: partial 16S ribosomal RNA
Rfam family: Bacterial small subunit ribosomal RNA
Source: RNAcentral
ACUGCCUGAUGGAGGGGGAUAACUACUGGAAACGGUAGCUAAUACCGCAUAACGUCGCAAGACCAAAGAGGGGGACCUUCGGGCCUCUUGCCAUCGGAUGUGCCCAGAUGGGAUUAGCUAGUAGGUGAGGUAACGGCUCACCUAGGCGACGAUCCCUAGCUGGUCUGAGAGGAUGACCAGCCACACUGGAACUGAGACACGGUCCAGACUCCUACGGGAGGCAGCAGUGGGGAAUAUUGCACAAUGGGCGCAAGC